Molecule: long non-coding RNA, 882 nt
Filed under: Mus musculus (house mouse)
Lineage: Eukaryota; Metazoa; Chordata; Mammalia; Rodentia; Muridae
Description: long non-coding RNA chr5:115646274-115647156
Source: RNAcentral
AGGCCCUGCCCUCUGCUGGCCGCUAGGCCUUCAGUUCCUUCCACAGAGGAACUCAGUCCUGCCCUUUUGGACAACAGGUUUCUCAUUCUGCCUUCUAGAUGCCUCUGCUACAGACCCAGGAGAGCCAUGGCUUCUCACUUACCCAACAUGUUUCAGUUCCCGCAGAAAGGUAGUGGGACAUCUGUAAAGAGACGGAGCUCGCAAGGAGGAGCAUUUUAACAAAUACAGCCAAUGAAGCCAAAUCAAAUGAACUAAGUUCCUCACGAUUAUUUCCUUGAGAUCUGAUUGGCUCAAUAGCAAAAGAUAUGACUGUCCCACAUCGGGCUCAGUAUUUUUAGAAAAGGUGUAUGGCUUCUGUUGAGUGCAGGGCUAGGCGCUCUCCCUUCCAUGGGAAAGGCUGGCUUUGCACCCUCAUACCUGUGUGCUCGAGGGCCUCCCACUGGAGAAAGAAAGUCUGUAAUGUAGCACCAGGCGCCUGUGCCAGAGCCAGGGGUUGCUGGGCUCUGGGAAGGCACCUCAAGCUGGGACCGACUGGUGGUUUUUGCAUUACUGACAGAUGUGUUUUUAGUAUGAAGGUGGUAGGAAGAUUUUCUAGCCACUGGGAAGAAGCGGCAGUGGGGUGGGGGCAGCCAGUAUUCACCUAGCCACCCACUAGGGUGAUCUGCAUUUGGUUACUCCUCCCUUCCCCACACUUGGUCCCCCUUCCCCUGAAGGAUCACGUAACUCAGAAGAACUGAUUUGGACACAUAAUGUGUUUUAGAUUUUCUUUCCUAGGCGAUUUCCAGGCACAGUCCUGACUGGACAAUCAUCACAGAAUACUGCAGAUUUUCCAUGUUAACACUGUGGAUGGGUUUUCAAUCAAUAAAACUGGGGCUUUCUUCU